Long non-coding RNA from Pseudophryne corroboree (corroboree frog), 393 nucleotides. RefSeq lists it as uncharacterized. The record is from RefSeq and is a predicted model, not a curated record. The transcript has 3 exons. NCBI's taxonomy places the organism in Eukaryota, Metazoa, Chordata, Amphibia, Anura, Myobatrachidae.
GUGUUCUAAAUUGGUUAGACAUACCCAUUUGAAUUGCCUUCACUCCUGAGUCUCUGAGUGUCAGGUUCAAGCUGCUGACCGACGAGGUUCCUUAUGCUUGCGAACCAGUUAGAUUCUAUACACAUAUGAAUCUUCCCCAUAUUCGAAUAUCUGAAUGUCAGACUCAAGCUGAUGAUAUAUGAGGUAUGGUCCUCGCUGUAUCAAUCAAGUCCCAUUGAAAUAUUGAAACGUUGUUCAUACAUCUUUGAAUGACCUUUUAUGUGCUGACAAUAUGUUCUGAAAUGAAGAGGUAUGUUUUUCACAACCUGUGCUUUUUGGUUCUCUUUUUUCCUCUUUCUUCAUGUUAUUUAUUCUGUUUUCCUCCUCAUGUUGCUAUGUCAUGUUCUUUUGAUA